This 494-nucleotide ribosomal RNA is filed under the name uncultured bacterium. RNAcentral's name for it is "partial 16S ribosomal RNA". It matches the Rfam family "Bacterial small subunit ribosomal RNA", at positions 28 to 507 of the family's 1533-position model. The record is from RNAcentral.
GACGAACGCUGGCGGCGUGCUUAACACAUGCAAGUCGAACGGAAAGGCCUGCUUUCCCUUGUGGAUUGCGGGUACUCGAGUGGCGAACGGGUGGGUAACACGUGAGUGAUCUGCCCCCAACUUGGGUAUAAGCCUGGGAAACUGGGUCUAAUUCCCGAUAGGACUGCAGGGUGGUGCCUGUGGUGGAAAACGAUUUUCUAGUGGUUGGGGAUGAGCUCGCGGCCUAUCAGCUUGUUGGUGGGGUAAUGGCCUACCAAGGCGGCGACGGGUAGCCGGCCUGAGAGGGUGGACGGCCACAUUGGGACUGAGAUACGGCCCAGACUCCUACGGGAGGCAGCAGUGGGGAAUAUUGCACAAUGGGCGGAAGCCUGAGGCAGCGACGCCGCGUGGGGGAUGACGGCCUUCGGGUUGUAAACUCCUUUCGACCGCGAGGAAGCCACCUGGUUGGAAGGGUGGUGACGGUAGUGGUAGAAGAAGCACCGGCUAACUACGUG